GACGAACGCUGGCGGCGUGCCUAAUACAUGCAAGUCGAACGCAGUGGGGACGGGUGAGUAACACGUGGGUAACCUCCCAUCAGAGGGGAUAACACUUGGAAACAGGUGCUAAACCGAUACUGAUGGAUGGACCCGCGGUGCAUUAGCUAGUUGGUGAGGUAACGGCUCACCAAGGCCACGAUGCAUAGCCGACUGGCUGGGGUGAUCGGGUGCACGGGGACAGAAACACGGCCACGCCGCCUAGGGGCGGAAGCGGUGGGGAAUUGUCGGCAAUUGCCGAAAGGCUGACCGAGCAACGCCGCGUGGGUGCAGGGGGUUUUCGGGGUGUAAAGCUCUGUUGUUAUAUCAGCGGUAGCUGAACAGAAAGCCCCGGCUAACUACGUGCCAGCAGCCGCGGUAAUUC
RNAcentral lists this ribosomal RNA (403 nucleotides) under uncultured bacterium. Its description in RNAcentral is "partial 16S ribosomal RNA". It matches the Rfam family "Bacterial small subunit ribosomal RNA", at positions 28 to 526 of the family's 1533-position model. The record is from RNAcentral.